RNAcentral lists this small RNA (125 nucleotides) under Marmota monax (woodchuck). The record is from RNAcentral. Lineage: Eukaryota; Metazoa; Chordata; Mammalia; Rodentia; Sciuridae.
GCUGGGUGUGGUGAUGCACACCUGUAAUCCCAGCGGCUUGGGAGGCUGAGACAGGAGGAUUGCAAGUUCAAAGCCAGCCUCACCAAAAGUGAGGUUCUAAGUAAUUCAGUGAGAUUCUGUAUCUA